GAAGCGAGCGGCUCUCAGGAGGAUGGGGCGCGAGUUGGGCAGAGCAUGACUCCCAGAGGCAGGGUAAGAUGGGGGCUGGGAAGGGGCCACUGCGGUGACCAGGAGGCACCCAGGUCACACCCGGCUAUGGUGAACGUGGGUAGAGUAACCUUGCUGGACUCUGGGCUCCUCCUCUUUCUAAAAUAUACCUUGUCCUUAUUCAUUGCACAGUGGAGAAACCUGGCGGACACCACGCUGACCGAGAGAUGAAGGUUAAUAUCACUAGCACCGAAGGGAUACCACACACCUCCUGAUGGGGUUCCCGCU
RNAcentral lists this long non-coding RNA (306 nucleotides) under Homo sapiens (human). RNAcentral's name for it is "non-protein coding lnc-LRFN4-2:1". The record is from RNAcentral. Lineage: Eukaryota; Metazoa; Chordata; Mammalia; Primates; Hominidae.